RNAcentral lists this ribosomal RNA (440 nucleotides) under uncultured bacterium. RNAcentral describes it as "bacterial SSU rRNA". It matches the Rfam family "Bacterial small subunit ribosomal RNA", at positions 29 to 513 of the family's 1533-position model. The record is from RNAcentral.
AACGAACGCUGGCGGCAGGCCUAACACAUGCAAGUCGAACGCUCGUAGCAAUACGAGAGUGGCAGACGGGUGAGUAACACGUGGGAACCUUCCCUAUGGUUCGGAAUAGCCCAGGGAAACUUGGGGUAAUACCGGAUAAGCCCUUCGGGGAAGGAUUUAUCGCCAUUGGAUGGGCCCGCGUCGGAUUAGCUAAUUGGUGAGGUAACGGCUCACCAAGGCGACGAUCCGUAGCUGGUCUGAGAGGAUGAUCAGCCACACUGGGACUGAGACACGGCCCAGACUCCUACGGGAGGCAGCAGUGGGGAAUAUUGGACAAUGGGCGCAAGCCUGAUCCAGCCAUGCCGCGUGAGUGACGAAGGCCUUAGGGUUGUAAAGCUCUUUUGGCGGGGAAGAUAAUGACGGUACCCGCAGAAUAAGCUCCGGCUAACUUCGUGCCAGCA